AGCAGAAUAGCUUAAUAGUUAAAAGCAUGAACCAUGGAGCCAGAUGCCUGGGUUCAAAUCCCUAUUCUGCCA
RNAcentral lists this transfer RNA (72 nucleotides) under Loxodonta africana (African savanna elephant). It matches the Rfam family "tRNA". From Rfam's summary of the family: Transfer RNA (tRNA) molecules are approximately 80 nucleotides in length. Their secondary structure includes four short double-helical elements and three loops (D, anti-codon, and T loops). Lineage: Eukaryota; Metazoa; Chordata; Mammalia; Proboscidea; Elephantidae. The record is from Rfam by way of RNAcentral.